This 73-nucleotide transfer RNA is filed under the name Hishimonoides recurvatis. Its description in RNAcentral is "tRNA-Trp". The record is from RNAcentral. Lineage: Eukaryota; Metazoa; Arthropoda; Insecta; Hemiptera; Cicadellidae.
AGGACUUUAAGUUAAUAUAAACUUGUAGCCUUCAAAGUUAUAUAUACUAAGAUUAAUACAAUAGUAAGUCUUA